UGCCAGCCGCCGCGGUAAUACGUAGGGUGCAAGCGUUGUUCAGAAUCACUGGGCGUAAAGGGCGUGUAGGCGGAUGAAUAAGCUAGAGGUUAAAGACCACAGCUCAACUGUGGGGUUGCUUUUGGAACUGUUCGUCUAGAGUUAGUUAGAGGUUAGCAGAAUUCCUGGUGUAGAGGUGAAAUUCGUAGAGAUCAGGAGGAAUACCAGAGGCGAAGGCGGCUAACUGGGACUUAACUGACGCUGAUGCGCGAAAGCAUGGGGAGCAAACAGGAUUAGAUA
This 279-nucleotide ribosomal RNA is filed under the name uncultured bacterium. RNAcentral's name for it is "partial 16S ribosomal RNA". It matches the Rfam family "Bacterial small subunit ribosomal RNA", at positions 506 to 784 of the family's 1533-position model. The record is from RNAcentral.